This 253-nucleotide ribosomal RNA is filed under the name uncultured bacterium. RNAcentral's name for it is "partial 16S ribosomal RNA". It matches the Rfam family "Bacterial small subunit ribosomal RNA", at positions 524 to 776 of the family's 1533-position model. The record is from RNAcentral.
GACGGAGGAUGCAAGCGUUAUCCGGAAUGAUUGGGCGUAAAGCGUCCGCAGGUGGCAGUUCAAGUCUGCUGUCAAAGACCGGGGCUUAACUUCGGAAAGGCAGUGGAAACUGAACAGCUAGAGUAUGGUAGGGGCAGAGGGAAUUCCUGGUGUAGCGGUGAAAUGCGCAGAUAUCAGGAAGAACACCCGUGGCGAAGGCGGCUCUCUGGAACGCAACUGACGCUGAGACGCGAAAGCGUGGGGAGCAAACAGG